Molecule: ribosomal RNA, 500 nt
Filed under: uncultured bacterium
Lineage: Bacteria
Description: partial 16S ribosomal RNA
Rfam family: Bacterial small subunit ribosomal RNA
Source: RNAcentral
GAUGAACGCUAGCGGCAGGCUUAAUACAUGCAAGUCGUGGGGCAGCAUGAGUAGCAAUACUUGAUGGCGACCGGCAAACGGGUGCGGAACACGUACACAACCUUCCGAUAAGUGGGGAAUAGCCCAGAGAAAUUUGGAUUAAUACCCCGUAACAUAUAGAGUAGGCAUCUUCUUUAUAUUAUAGCUUCGGCGCUUAUUGAUGGGUGUGCGUCUGAUUAGGUAGUUGGCGGGGUAACGGCCCACCAAGCCUACGAUCAGUAGCUGAUGUGAGAGCAUGAUCAGCCACACGGGCACUGAGACACGGGCCCGAAUCCUACGGGAGGAAGCAGUAAGGAAUAUUGGACAAUGGGCGAAAGCCUGUUCCAGCCAUGCCGCGUGAAGGAUUAAGGUCCUCUGGAUUGUAAACUUCUUUUAUUUGGGACGAAAAAAGGGAAUUCUUUCCCACUUGACGGUACCAAGUGAAUAAGCACCGGCUAACUCCGUGCCAGCCGCCGCCGUAA